Microplitis mediator is the source of this 5845-nucleotide long non-coding RNA. RefSeq lists it as uncharacterized. Lineage: Eukaryota; Metazoa; Arthropoda; Insecta; Hymenoptera; Braconidae. The record is from RefSeq and is a predicted model, not a curated record. The transcript is spliced from 3 exons.
UAUCUGAUUUCCUUUAUGGUCAUCAUCAGAUGUAAAAUUUUCUAUGAUCAAAAAAAUUUGAACCUGAUCAUAUAAAAAUUUGAGUCUAAUCAUACAUGAUGAUCAGAUUCAAAUUCUUAUAUGAUCAGGUAUGAAACCGUAGUAGCGUAUGGAGCUUCAUAUAUAUGAUCAUAUAUAUUAACAUCUGAUCAUAUAUAAGUAUAAAAAGUUGUCUACACUACAGUUUUAAAUUCCUUAGAUUUUAUGAAAAUAAUUAAAGUUUCAACUCAGCGUGCAUAUGGGUCUCAUUAUUGUUAUUAUGAAUAAUAUUAAAUGCAACGCAUCAUAAAAUAAUAUUUUGUUGCAUAAAAGAUUUUCUUAUGACCUUAUAAAAAAACAUAUCAUCAAGGACAGCUCUCUAUUUGUUCACCAGUAUAUCAGACUACAAGACAUUGAUAUAUUUAUCUUCGAGUAAUCGAUUAUUGUUAAAAAAUAUAAUAAGAAACGGCGUACAAUAAAUUUCAAACAGACGGAUCUUGGUAUCAAAUAGAUAUUGUCCAAGUAAGAGCCGUAUAUAUUAAAUAAAUAAUGAAAAAAGUUGUUGAUAGUUUUCACACUUUAAAGAGCUCGUUUGACGACGACGACGUUCGAAGGAAAGCGAACUAACAAAUCACACAAAAUCGAAAGUUUUAAAUAAAUUCCGUCAGCAUUCCGAUUCUUAUCUGUUUUUUUAAAAAUAACAUACUGAAGAAUCUAAUUAAGAAGUAAUUAUUUCUUCCCGAAAACUAAUUAGCUGCGAUAAGAUGAUACGCACAGACUGAUAAUUUAUUUAAAUGAUAAGAAUUUAUUUAGUGGCUGAUAAAAAAAAUGAAAAAAAAAUUAAGGUUAUUGUCAAAGUAAGACAAUUGUACGUUAGACUAGACUAUUAUGUAUGUAGAUAACAGUCUGUACAAUAAAAAUUCAAAAUAAUAAAUUUAUUCUGCAUACACAAAGGCCCAUAUUGCACGUGCACCAGGUCACUAUUGGAAUCCAGCAGGCGUAUUAAUUUGCUUAUAACUGUACUCCAGCAUAUAUAACUUUGCAAGUUAUUGCUAUUGCUGAAGAAAAUUAAAGACAGACACAGACAUAAUAUAAAAUAUUACAAUUUUUUUAUAUCUAUAAUUUAAUGACAGUUUUAUUAUAUAUUUCAACAAAUUUAUUGUCUCUUAGAAUAUAUAUCGUUUCUCUUAAAAGAUAUUUAAAUUCCGCUUAUAAACAAACAAAAGGAAAUAAUUAAUUCCUAAAUGGUUGGACUUUCACCAUAUUUCCGCAGGGCUUUUCAUAAAAUUUAAUUUAAAUCGAAUAAAGUAUAAUAUAAUUGUAAUUCGAUGAUUAAUUCGAUCACUACUUUCGCAAUAAUAAUUUAAAUAACAAUGAAUCCUAUCAACUAAGGCCGUAAUGAAUAUUGUUGUUGAAGCCGGCAUUGUUUAGCUAUCAGAUGACUAUUUCUGCUGUGGGUCAAAGUUAACAUCGACGAGGUUGCAGGUUGGCAUGGACUCUCUUGGUCUUGAUCUUUCUGGGUCACAAGGCCAAUCGGGCUUGAUACAGCAACCAAGUUCCUUAAGUUGGAUCCAUGAUAUUAUCAUCGAGUAAGUGUGUCAACCGGGACACUGCUGCAGCCGGAGGUUUAAAGUUGAGUAGUUACAAACGUUUAAAAUCUUGGGAUAUGUUUUUUAAAUAAAAGAGUGUUGUUGUUAAGGUCCUCAACUCUUGUCCGUAGACGAAGCAAAGUCGACGUCCGGUGAAUUAUCUCCUCUAACAGGUCUCUGACAAGAUAACCGUUAAGGCUUUCUUUCGUUCUUAGCCAGCAGUUCCUUUCCUCUACAGCCGAAAGAAAUCCGGCUGAGUUAAUGAUCCAUAUCGUAUGAAAAUACUUUUUUGCUUACCCCAAUGAAAAGUUUUGGUUGUAAUUACUGUUUUCAUGAUAAUAUUCAAUAAAGGUCGAUAUACCUCCAACAUGCAGACAAUAAACCAAAGGGUAAACGUUUUAGAAAUUACUAUAUUGAUGAUAUCAAUCGACAAAUAGUUUUGUAAUAGAGAAAGGAGGAAAAGUUAUUCAAGAAGAUCUGGCCUGACAUUUUAAGAUGAACCUUUGCGGUUUGAUGACACAUUUAUAAACCUUUUUCAUUCCGCUAAAUAUAAAUAUUGCCCUAUCAAAAAAUCCAUAGAGGAUUAUGUGGAAAUUUAUAGACAUCCGUGUAGGAAACUAUGGAUUUACAUGAGGAUCCAUGGGGAUCAACAUAGGAAAGUAUGGAUUUAUAGAGGAAUCCAUGUAGGAAAGCAAUGGAUACUUGGAUUCCCAUUCAAAAAAUACAUAUAGGAACUUUAUGUAAAAAUUUAAUAUACAUAAGUAACCAUUAGGGUGGCCCAAAAAAACCGACUAUUUUUUUUUUUUCGAGUCUCUUGUAAAAAUUUGUUGGUUUAAGAUGUUUUAAGAAGCAUCUCCAAAAAUCAGCUCGAUACAAAAUUUCCAAGAGGUCGCUCACGAAUUUUGAAAAUAUCAAAAAUGAUCGAAAUUCGGAUUUUUCUGUUCUAAAUUUCUUCUUUCUCGUAGCAGCUAUAGUUUACUAUGAAAUCAUGACUACGCUGAAAAUUUCAACCCAAAAUUUGAAUAUUUAAACGGCGCUCAAGAAUUUUGAAUAUUAACUGAUAAUAUAUAACUAAUACUUUGAAUUAGUUUUUGUAUUUUUUUAUAACUCAAUUACUGUCAUUUCACUUAAAUAUAACUUUUGCAUAACUGAAAAUAUACCGGACAGUUUUAAACAAUAAAAUUGGGUAAGUUUUGAAUAAGCAAAAAAACCUAAAAAUUGAAUUAAAAAAUAAAAAAGUAUGUAAAUAACUUAUUAUUUAUAUUUCUCGGGUUGUAUUUUCAUUCAUUAUGAUACAAAUUGAUGGUGAAAAAAUUGAAAAAUUUUAUUAUUAAUAUUUAAGGGUCGCUCGAAAACGUCCAAGAGACAGUACUCGGAAACAUUCAAAAUUCUUGAGCGACGUUUAAAUAUUUUAGUUUUGGGCUGAAAUUUUCAGCGUAGUCAUCAUUUCAUAAAUAUAAACUAUAGCUACCACGAGAAAGAAGAAAUUUAGAACAAAAAAUCCGAAUUUCGAUCAUUUUUGAUAUUUUCAAAAUUCGUGAGCGACCUCGUGGAAAUUUUUUAUCGAGCUGAUUUUUGGAGAGGCUUCUUAAAACAUCUUAAACCAACAAAUUUUCAUAAGAGACUCAAAAAAAAAAAAAAUAGUCGGUUUUUUUGGGCCACCCUAGUAACCAUAGGAAUCUAAACUAGGUUUCCAUAUGGGUUUCGGCAUGGUUUGGAUUUCCAUGGGAAAUCAUUGUUGGAAUCCACAUACGAGUCUAAAAUCGAUUGUCAUUUCGAUUUUUACAUGGUAUGGAUUUCUAUGGGGGUCUAUAUAAAAAUCGGUACUGAAUUCUUAUAAGAAACCAUACAGAAACGGCAUUUGGGAUCUUCAUGAAAAUCUAAACUGGAUUCCCACGUGGAUUUUUUUGAUAGUCAGCUGCUGUUGUCUCAAACAAGAAUUUCAUUAAAAAACCUUAAGUUGAUGAUAUUAAUUUGCGGAUUAAAUACUCAAGUUUAAAUGGAUAGCAAGAAUGACUUAAUAUGAAGUGAUUAGUUGUUUGCAAGAUGUGCAACUAGACAAGUAGCGUUUUAAUUUAACACGAGUAUCACCAGCACAGAGCAAUUGGUAAAUGUUAAAACUACAAAGUGCUAAUGAGAUUUCAUAUAUAUUUAUAUAUUUAAAGAGAACGUGAGUACUUAAAUAAUUGUGAUUGACUGUAAUACAUGUGGCUAGCUGCCGCAGAGGUUUAAAACGACGAAAGCAUGUAUGAUAUAGAUGGAGUCACGUUCAUAAUAUACGUGCCUGAGUGUCAGUUGCAAAUACACUACACAUAGAUUACAAACUAUUAAUGGACUCAUCUUAAGUUUAUAACAUGUAACAUGUGUGUACUUAACUUCCUUUUCAGAUGCUUUCUCACGCAACACACACAAUAAUAGUAACCUCCAACCAAACGUGAUUCAUCAAGCAAUCAAGGUCUUAACAUUACAGUUACUCAAACAAACUUGGAAAUGCUAUUGACCAUUGAAAAAAUUGUUUUUUUUUUUUAAAUUAUAUAUAUUUUAAAUUAUAAUUCUUCUCUAUUCAUUAUUGUAAUACGACUGGAUUAAAAUCAAGCGUGAAUAUAAUUGACCGUGACUUGCGCGUAAUCCAAAAGCCAAUUAUAACACCUAGACAUUUAUGAUUAAAUAAUAAAUUUAUUAUUAUUAAAAUUGAACUAGAUACGUAGUACUGUAUUCUUCAAGUGUUAUCGAGGUUUACAAACCAAAAAAUGAGAUUUAAUUACUUAUAAAAUUAGAACGUGACAAGAUAAGAUGUGAUAAGAGAAAACUUUAUACAGAUAGAGUAUAGUACUUGUAUUAUAUUUGAAUACUUGUAUUGUGGAAGAAGAUGAGCUUUGUAGUUGACGGAAUAACAUAUGGGUUUAACGACCGCAUAUUCUACGGAGGAUUUAUUUCACCAUCAUGAGUAGUGUCAUAUUACGCUUCAUUUUAAUUUGAAUGACAAUCAUAUGAGCUAGUUUACGUUUUAAUAAGUUGAAUUUAUAUUCAGGGUAAAAGUUAAUUGUAAAAAAUUAAAAAAAAUGUUGGAAAAUCCAAAAUUGCACACCUCAGUCGCUCAUUUUAUUGUUAAUCAUUACUUUGAUUUUUUUGUUUAUGAAUUUUUUUAUUCAACUUUUAAAUUAUUAAUUUGAUUUUUUUAUUUCUUAAUUCCAGUUUAAUUUUUUUUUUUUUUUAUUUAAAUUUUUUCGAAAUAUCCCGCAUUUUUGUUGUAGAUGUUGCUCUUUCUUUUCAAUCCUACUGUUUUACGCUAGUGCUGUUGCCAGUAGUUGAUGGGGAGAAAAAAAGAAAAAAAGAAAUUUACUUUUGUAAUAAUAACAAUAGUAAAAAUAAAAAUGGCCGCUGAACUUUUCGUGAAUAAUCAGUCAUAUUAUUUUAUUUAAUUACAAUUAAACUAAAAGGAUUUAGACAGUAAUUUUCAAUAGGGUUCUUGUGAUCAAAAAUAUAAAGAUAAUAAAAAAAAAGUUAGGCCGAUUAAUUGUGUCUAUCGAGAGUUAUUUGGUUUACUAAGUUUCAUACAGGACAAUCGACAACUCGUGUCACUGGGAUUAAAAUAAUUUAUAUUUAAUUAAUGGAAUAAUUAAUCGACUUAAUAUUGGGUCGAAAUUAUUCUUUAAUAAAUUGUCUUCGUGUUGGUAUAAAAUUUCACCCAUUUUAGUGUAAUCGAAAAAGUCUAGAGAUAAUUUAAUGUGAGUGAAUGAGUCAAAAAAUUUAGAGCGAUCAUAAAACACACCAGCGCUUUCGCGCUUGAGGUGUGCAAAAUUAUAUUAUAAGAAACAUUCUACUAUUGAAUUACCAGUGAAAAAUUUAACUAUAGUAUUCUACCACUGAACUACCAAUGAAUUUAAUUAUAGUUUAGAUUUAAGAAUUUAAAUGUUUUUAAAUAUUUUAGUAUCAUUAUAAUUGAAAAUGUCAAUAUCCCAAGCAAAAAGACGGUUAAAUUUACCUUGACUUUCUCACUUACGUAAUCGUCCAGCCAAAAUAGUCUCGGACCUGUUAAAAUAACAAAACAUCGCAUCAUUUUGUCGGCGAUGAGUCAUCUAGAAAUCUAUGUCAAGUUUCCGAGUUUAUUUUUAUUUUAUUACUUUAUUUUUUUUAUUUUCGCAAAUUACAUGACCAAAAAAUGUUAAAACCAUUACCAUAUUUAAUUCCUUAUACUUUUACUGCACCAGAUUUAAAUGAAGUAUUUAAAACUUAAA